This 484-nucleotide ribosomal RNA is filed under the name uncultured bacterium. Its description in RNAcentral is "partial 16S ribosomal RNA". It matches the Rfam family "Bacterial small subunit ribosomal RNA", at positions 30 to 507 of the family's 1533-position model. The record is from RNAcentral.
AUUGAACGCUGGCGGCAUGCCUAACACAUGCAAGUCGAGCGGAUGAAGGGAGCUUGCUCCUGGAUUCAGCGGCGGACGGGUGAGUAAUUCCUAGGAAUCUGCCUGGUAGUGGGUGAUAACGUCCGGAAACGGGCGCUAAUACCGCAUACGUCCUGAGGGAGAAAGUGGGGGAUCUUCGGACCUCACGCUAUCAGAUGAGCCUAGGUCGGAUUAGCUAGUUGGUGGGGUAAAGGCCUACCAAGGCGACGAUCCGUAACUGGUCUGAGAGGAUGAUCAGUCACACUGGAACUGAGACACGGUCCAGACGCCUACGGGAGGCAGCAGUGGGGAAUAUUGGACAAUGGGCGAAAGCCUGAUCCAGCCAUGCCGCGUGUGUGAAGAAGGUCUUCGGAUUGUAAAGCACUUUAAGUUGGGAGGAAGGGCAGUAAGUUAAUACCUUGCUGUUUUGACGUUACCAACAGAAUAAGCACCGGCUAACUUCGUG